AUUUUGACCUCGGAUCAGGUAGGAAUACCCGCUGAACUUAAGCAUAUC
This 48-nucleotide ribosomal RNA is filed under the name Chrysoporthe deuterocubensis. RNAcentral's name for it is "partial 28S ribosomal RNA". The record is from RNAcentral. Lineage: Eukaryota; Fungi; Ascomycota; Sordariomycetes; Diaporthales; Cryphonectriaceae.